Molecule: unclassified non-coding RNA, 135 nt
Filed under: fungal sp.
Lineage: Eukaryota; Fungi
Description: partial internal transcribed spacer region
Source: RNAcentral
GCUUCAUGGUGCUGGCCCACUCGAUCAUGGCGAGAUACGGCCCGGAGUACUCCAGGAUCAUCGCCUCGUGGAUCAUGGUCAGCUCGAGAUGCGUGGCGGGAUUGUCCACGGGCAGGCGGCCGGUUUCGGCCAGCA